This 823-nucleotide ribosomal RNA is filed under the name uncultured bacterium. RNAcentral describes it as "bacterial SSU rRNA". It matches the Rfam family "Bacterial small subunit ribosomal RNA", at positions 13 to 805 of the family's 1533-position model. The record is from RNAcentral.
UUGAUCCUGGCUCAGAUUGAACGCUGGCGGCAGGCUUAACACAUGCAAGUCGAACGGUAACAGGAAGCAGCUUGCUGCUUUGCUGACGAGUGGCGGACGGGUGAGUAAUGUCUGGGAAACUGCCUGAUGGAGGGGGAUAACUACUGGAAACGGUAGCUAAUACCGCAUAACGUCGCAAGACCAAAGUGGGGGACCUUCGGGCCUCAUGCCAUCAGAUGUGCCCAGAUGGGAUUAGCUAGUAGGUGGGGUAAUGGCUCACCUAGGCGACGAUCCCUAGCUGGUCUGAGAGGAUGACCAGCCACACUGGAACUGAGACACGGUCCAGACUCCUACGGGAGGCAGCAGUGGGGAAUAUUGCACAAUGGGCGCAAGCCUGAUGCAGCCAUGCCGCGUGUAUGAAGAAGGCCUUCGGGUUGUAAAGUACUUUCAGCGAGGAGGAAGGCAUCAGGGUUAAUAACCCUGGUGAUUGACGUUACUCGCAGAAGAAGCACCGGCUAACUCCGUGCCAGCAGCCGCGGUAAUACGGAGGGUGCAAGCGUUAAUCGGAAUUACUGGGGCGUAAAGCGCACGCAGGCGGUCUGUUAAGUCAGAUGUGAAAUCCCCGGGCUCAACCUGGGAACUGCAUUUGAAACUGGCAGGCUUGAGUCUCGUAGAGGGGGGGGUAGAAUUUCCAGGUGGUAGCGGGUGAAAUGCGCGUAGAGAUUCUUGGGAGGAAAAUCCGGGGUGGGCGAAGGGCGGUCCCCUUGGACGAAGACUGACGCUCAGUGGCGAAAGGCCGUGGGGGAGCAAACAGGAUUAGAUACCCUGGUAGUCCACGCGGUAA